GAUGAACGCUGGCGGCGUGCCUAACACAUGCAAGUCGAGCGAUUUACUUCGGUAAAGAGCGGCGGACGGGUGAGUAACGCGUGGGUAACCUGCCCUGUACACACGGAUAACAUACCGAAAGGUAUGCUAAUACGAGAUAAAAUACUUUUAUCGCAUGGUAGAAGUAUCCAAGCUUUUGCGGUACAGGAUGGACCCGCGUCUGAUUAGCUAGUUGGUAAGGUAACGGCUUACCAAGGCGACGAUCAGUAGCCGACCUGAGAGGGUGAUCGGCCACAUUGGAACUGAGACACGGUCCAAACUCCUACGGGAGGCAGCAGUGGGGAAUAUUGCACAAUGGGCGAAAGCCUGAUGCAGCAACGCCGCGUGAGCGAUGAAGGCCUUCGGGUCGUAAAGCUCUGUCCUCAAGGAAGAUAAUGACGGUACUUGAGGAGGAAGCCCCGGCUAACUACGUGCCAGCCGCCGCCGUAA
Molecule: ribosomal RNA, 468 nt
Filed under: uncultured bacterium
Lineage: Bacteria
Description: partial 16S ribosomal RNA
Rfam family: Bacterial small subunit ribosomal RNA
Source: RNAcentral